AGGAAGGUGGGGAUGACGUCAAGUCAGCAUGGCCUUUAUGUCCAGGGCUACACACACGCUACAAUGGCCGGUACAGAGGGCAGCAAAGCCGCGAGGUGGAGCGAACCUCACAAAGCCGGUCUCAGUUCAGAUUGCAGGCUGCAACUCGCCUGCAUGAAGUUGGAGUUGCUAGUAACCGCAGGUCAGCAAUACUGCGGUGAAUACGUUCCCGGGUCUU
This 217-nucleotide ribosomal RNA is filed under the name uncultured Caldilineaceae bacterium. Its description in RNAcentral is "partial 16S ribosomal RNA". It matches the Rfam family "Bacterial small subunit ribosomal RNA", at positions 1167 to 1382 of the family's 1533-position model. Lineage: Bacteria; Bacillati; Chloroflexota; Caldilineae; Caldilineales; Caldilineaceae. The record is from RNAcentral.